This 497-nucleotide ribosomal RNA is filed under the name uncultured bacterium. RNAcentral's name for it is "partial 16S ribosomal RNA". It matches the Rfam family "Bacterial small subunit ribosomal RNA", at positions 28 to 507 of the family's 1533-position model. The record is from RNAcentral.
GAUGAACGCUGGCGGCGUGCCUAAUACAUGCAAGUCGAGCGAACGGACGAGAAGCUUGCUUCUCUGAUGUUAGCGGCGGACGGGUGAGUAACACGUGGAUAACCUACCUAUAAGACUGGGAUAACUUCGGGAAACCGGAGCUAAUACCGGAUAAUAUUUUGAACCGCAUGGUUCAAAAGUGAAAGACGGUCUUGCUGUCACUUAUAGAUGGAUCCGGGCUGCAUUAGCUAGUUGGUAAGGUAACGGCUUACCAAGGCAACGAUGCAUAGCCGACCUGAGAGGGUGAUCGGCCACACGGGAACUGAGACACGGUCCAGGCUCCUACGGGAGGCAGCAGUAGGGAAUCUUCCGCAAUGGGCGAAAGCCUGACGGAGCAACGCCGCGUGAGUGAUGAAGGUCUUCGGAUCGUAAAACUCUGUUAUUAGGGAAGAACAUAUGUGUAAGUAACUGUGCACAUCUUGACGGUACCUAAUCAGAAAGCCACGGCUAACUACGUG